This 202-nucleotide ribosomal RNA is filed under the name uncultured bacterium. Its description in RNAcentral is "partial 16S ribosomal RNA". It matches the Rfam family "Bacterial small subunit ribosomal RNA", at positions 1300 to 1500 of the family's 1533-position model. The record is from RNAcentral.
GCAGGCUGCAACUCGCCUGCAUGAAGUUGGAAUUGCUAGUAAUCGCGAAUCAGAAUGUCGCGGUGAAUACGUUCCCGGGCCCUUGUACACACCGCCCGUCACACCAUGAGAGUCGAUAACACCCGAAGCCUGUGAGCUAACCGCAAGGAGGCAGCAGUCGAAGGUGGGGUUGAUGAUUGGGGUGAAGUCGUAACAAGGUAGC